RNAcentral lists this transfer RNA (72 nucleotides) under Ipomoea nil (Japanese morning glory). It matches the Rfam family "tRNA". From Rfam's summary of the family: Transfer RNA (tRNA) molecules are approximately 80 nucleotides in length. The record is from Rfam by way of RNAcentral. Lineage: Eukaryota; Viridiplantae; Streptophyta; Magnoliopsida; Solanales; Convolvulaceae.
GUUGUUGUGGUCUAGUGGUUAUCACGUUAGUCUUCCACAUUAAAAGACCCAGUUCAAUCUUGGGCACUGAUG